This 750-nucleotide ribosomal RNA is filed under the name uncultured bacterium. RNAcentral's name for it is "bacterial SSU rRNA". It matches the Rfam family "Bacterial small subunit ribosomal RNA", at positions 41 to 770 of the family's 1533-position model. The record is from RNAcentral.
UUCAGGCCUAACACAUGCAAGUCGAGCGGAAACGAGUUGUCUGAACCUUCGGGGAACGAUAACGGCGUCGAGCGGCGGACGGGUGAGUAGUGCCUGGGAAAUUGCCCUGAUGUGGGGGAUAACCAUUGGAAACGAUGGCUAAUACCGCAUAAUAGCUUCGGCUCAAAGAGGGGGACCUUCGGGCCUCUCGCGUCAGGAUAUGCCCAGGUGGGAUUAGCUAGUUGGUGAGGUAAUGGCUCACCAAGGCGACGAUCCCUAGCUGGUCUGAGAGGAUGAUCAGCCACACUGGAACUGAGACACGGUCCAGACUCCUACGGGAGGCAGCAGUGGGGAAUAUUGCACAAUGGGCGCAAGCCUGAUGCAGCCAUGCCGCGUGUAUGAAGAAGGCCUUCGGGUUGUAAAGUACUUUCAGCAGUGAGGAAGGUGGUAGUGUUAAUAGCACUAUCAUUUGACGUUAGCUGCAGAAGAAGCACCGGCUAACUCCGUGCCAGCAGCCGCGGUAAUACGGAGGGUGCGAGCGUUAAUCGGAAUUACUGGGCGUAAAGCGCAUGCAGGUGGUUUGUUAAGUCAGGUGUGGAAGCCCGGGGCUCAACCUCGGAAUUGCAUUUGAAACUGGCAGACUAGAGUACUGUAGAGGGGGGUAGAAUUUCAGGUGUAGCGGUGAAAUGCGUAGAGAUCUGAAGGAAUACCGGUGGCGAAGGCGGUCCCCUGGACAGAUACUGACACUCAGAUGCGAAAGCGUGGGGAGCA